ACGAGUUAGGGUCCCUCGCGGCCCGACCUCCCAACCCUUUGUCUACCUGACCACUGUUGCUUCGGCGAGCCCGUCUGUAAUGGACCGCCGGGGGGUACCUUGAUCGGCCCUCUGGUCCGCGCUCGUCGAUAGCCAAACUUUUAAAAUCUUAACCAAACGUGUCUCAAUCUAAGUAUUAUUUGUUAAAUAAAAGCA
RNAcentral lists this unclassified non-coding RNA (195 nucleotides) under soil metagenome. Its description in RNAcentral is "partial internal transcribed spacer 1". The record is from RNAcentral. RNAcentral also lists the same sequence under 1 other name.